UGGGGAAUAUUGGACAAUGGGCGCAAGCCUGAUCCAGCCAUGCCGCGUGAGUGAUGAAGGCCCUAGGGUUGUAAAGCUCUUUCACCGGUGAAGAAAUGACGGUAACCGGAGAAGAAGCCCCGGCUAACUUCGUGCCAGCAGCCGCGGUAAUACGAAGGGGGCUAGCGUUGUUCGGAUUUACUGGGCGUAAAGCGCACGUAGGCGGACUUUUAAGUCAGGGGUGAAAUCCCGGGGCUCAACCCCGGAACUGCCUUUGAUACUGGAAGUCUUGAGUAUGGUAGAGGUGAGUGGAAUUCCGAGUGUAGAGGUGAAAUUCGUAGAUAUUCGGAGGAACACCAGUGGCGAAGGCGGCUCACUGGACCAUUACUGACGCUGAGGUGCGAAAGCGUGGGGAGCAAACAGG
RNAcentral lists this ribosomal RNA (403 nucleotides) under Actinomycetes bacterium. Its description in RNAcentral is "Actinobacteria bacterium partial 16S ribosomal RNA". It matches the Rfam family "Bacterial small subunit ribosomal RNA", at positions 355 to 776 of the family's 1533-position model. Lineage: Bacteria; Bacillati; Actinomycetota; Actinomycetes. The record is from RNAcentral.